GAUGAACGCUGGCGGCGUGCCUAAUACAUGCAAGUCGAGCGAACAGACGAGGAGCUUGCUCCUCUGACGUUAGCGGCGGACGGGUGAGUAACACGUGGAUAACCUACCUAUAAGACUGGGAUAACUUCGGGAAACCGGAGCUAAUACCGGAUAAUAUAUUGAACCGCAUGGUUCAAUAGUGAAAGACGGUUUUGCUGUCACUUAUAGAUGGAUCCGCGCCGCAUUAGCUAGUUGGUAAGGUAACGGCUUACCAAGGCAACGAUGCGUAGCCGACCUGAGAGGGUGAUCGGCCACACUGGAACUGAGACACGGUCCAGACUCCUACGGGAGGCAGCAGUAGGGAAUCUUCCGCAAUGGGCGAAAGCCUGACGGAGCAACGCCGCGUGAGUGAUGAAGGUCUUCGGAUCGUAAAACUCUGUUAUUAGGGAAGAACAAAUGUGUAAGUAACUAUGCACGCCUUGACGGUACCUAAUCAGAAAGCGACGGCUAACUACGUG
Molecule: ribosomal RNA, 497 nt
Filed under: uncultured bacterium
Lineage: Bacteria
Description: partial 16S ribosomal RNA
Rfam family: Bacterial small subunit ribosomal RNA
Source: RNAcentral